UACGUAGGGUGCAAGCGUUAAUCGGAAUUACUGGGCGUAAAGAGCGCGCAGGCGGUCGUACAAGUCGCGUGUGAAAGCCCCCGGCUCAACUGGGGAGGGUCACGCGAUACUGUUCGACUCGAAGGCAGGAGAGGGUAGUGGAAUUCCCGGUGUAGUGGUGAAAUGCGUAGAUAUCGGGAGGAACACCAGUGGCGAAGGCGACUACCUGGCCUGUUCUUGACGCUGAGGCGCGAAAGCUAGGGUAGCAAACGGG
RNAcentral lists this ribosomal RNA (253 nucleotides) under uncultured bacterium. RNAcentral's name for it is "partial 16S ribosomal RNA". It matches the Rfam family "Bacterial small subunit ribosomal RNA", at positions 524 to 776 of the family's 1533-position model. The record is from RNAcentral.